AUGGGCGAAAGCUGAUGCAGCAUGCCGCGUGUGUGAAGAAGGCUUUAGGGUUGUAAAGCACUUUCAGCGAGGAGGAAAGGAUUAAAGUUAAUACCUUUGAUCUGUGACGUUACUCGCAGAAGAAGCACCGGCUAACUCCGUGCCAGCAGCCGCGGUAAUACGGAGGGUGCGAGCGUUAAUCGGAAUUACUGGGCGUAAAGCGUGCGUAGGCGGCUACUUAAGUUGGAUGUGAAAGCCCUGGGCUCAACCUGGGAACUGCAUCCAAAACUGAGUGGCUAGAGUGCGAGAGAGGAGUGUGGAAUUUCCUGUGUAGCGGUGAAAUGCGUAGAUAUAGGAAGGAACACCAGUGGCGAAGGCGACACUCUGGCUUGACACUGACGCUGAGGUACGAAAGCGUGGGGAGCAAACAGGAUUAGAUACCCUGGUAGUCCACGCCGUAAACGAUGUCUACUAGUUGUCCGUUGUCUUGUACGAUGGGUAACGCAGCUAACGCGAUAAGUAGACCGCCUGGGGAGUACGGCCGCAAGGUUA
Molecule: ribosomal RNA, 531 nt
Filed under: uncultured bacterium
Lineage: Bacteria
Description: bacterial SSU rRNA
Rfam family: Bacterial small subunit ribosomal RNA
Source: RNAcentral